CCAACAUAAAAGUUGCAUUAUGCCUUUUGCUUGCUUCAUUGUUUCCUCAUCCACCAUCGGGUAGCUUGUCACAUGGGACUCUUCACCACCUAGUAAAUGCCCACCUCUCCAAGCUGAUCUGCUGACGCAGAACAACCCCAGCCAUACUGAAAAUACAUUCUGUUCCUCAGACACACUGUAUGGUCUCAGAGUCUGAUUUCACAUGUCGUGUUCUUUUUCUACACUGUGCCCUUACUCACAUGUGAAAUCACAGAAAAACUGCUCAUCCUCCCAGCUUCAAGUCAAACUCUGCCUUUUUACAGAAGCCGUCCCACAUUCUCUAAGAAGACAUCACUGGGGAAAGGUGGGCUGCUCCCUGCUCUGUGUUCCUCUAGUGCAAGAGUCGAGCACUUUGUAGUAACCUCUGUUAGAAAGCUCUCUAGAGGGAUGAUCUGUUUGCAAAUCUUGAAUGUCCUAUAAUUGUUUGAGCAUUGCAUCAGACCCUGAACUCUUUGAACACAAGGACCAUAUCUUUUGUUUCGUUUUAUUGAUAUUUAGAACUUUAAAAACAUCUGUAAGAAUACAGAAUCGACUGCAACCAAUGCCUGUGUUCCAAUUUUCCAGACUUGACCACUAUUAAUAUUGUUUUAUUUACUUCCAAUCUUAUCCUUUUGUUCCUCCUCUCACCCUUCAGAGGCAAAGAUGGAAGCAAAGUAACCAGACAAAGGGAUCCCAGAGUAGAUGUAGAUGUUUAAGAAGUGCUGGGGUAGGGUAGGGGUAAUCGGGGAGGAGCAGGAAAUCAGUGAAAUGUAAUCAGUGGAAGCAUUCUUUUUUUUUUUUUUUUUUGUCUUUUUAGGGCCGCACUUGAGGCAUAUGGAGUUUCCCAGGCUAGGGGUCAAAUCGGAGCUGUAGCUGCCGCCCUAUGCCAGAGCCACAACAAUGCCAGAUCUGAGCUGAGUCUGUGACCAACACCACAGCUGGCGGCCACGUUGGAUUCUUAACCCACUGAGCGAGGCCAGGGAUUGAACCCAGGUUCUCAUGGCUGCUAAUCAGGUUCGUUAACUGCUGAGCAAUGACAGAAACUCCAGUCAAGGCAUUUUUGUAAUGAGCUUUGAAACAGCAGAAAUCCACUUUUUCCUUAAAAACACUGUCGUCCCAGAGAUGAAAGGCGCAUUUGAGCUGUGUACUGGUGGCAAACUGAAAACACUAAAUAAAAGAAAGUCUUACUUUAUGUGGUUCCGGCUUAAAAAAAAAAAAAAAAAAGAUUUUGAAGAAUAUGGCAACACUUAAGCCCUAGUGGAGCUUAUUUUGAGUUUGUAUUGGUGCUUGUUCAGAGAAUUCUCUCAACCAGCUGAGAAGACUAUGUACCAAAAUAUUAAUUGUGAGUAUCUUUGGGUGGUGAAAUUGGACGCAAUCUUUUUAUUCUGUUUGCCAAUCUUCAUUUUUUAGAGCAAUGUAGAAAAGAGAAACUGCUUUAAAAACUACAUCCAAGGAUAAUGAAACAGUUUGAGAAAUGUUUUUCACGAGAGACCUAGAGGAUUUGAAGAGCUAGAGAUUAUAUACUGUUAGUCUAGAAUUGGAAGCUUGAACUAUAAUGAGAUUUCUCCCUGUCGGGAUUACGGAUUGACUGUACCACCCAGAGAACAAACAGCUGACCUCAAAUCACAUGCCAAUAUAUUCACAAUUAAACAAUCAUUCAAGAAGCUAUAAAGCACACAAAAUGCAUAGUGGCUAAAAAUAAUAAACAAAUGAAGCUUCUGUGUUUUCUUGCCUGAGAACAAGGAGCCUGUUCUUUUAGUAUUUAUAGUGAAAUAGUGAGACUCUGUGGGAAAAAAUACAGCAGUUGGUAAGUGUUCUCAGUGAGGCAUUGCAAACAUGUCAUAGAAUCUGGGUGCUUCUGGCUUUACCUGUGGUUGGCUAAGAUGAAAGAUGAACAGAUGGCCAGGGGACCUCUAGAUUCCCAAUUUGAUACAGCAAGUGACCAUUCUGAAACCUCAUUUUUUACCCUCUGAAUUUUUCCUUUCUGGGUUUUGAAAUAAGAGAAAUAUUAAUGUCAUGAUGAGAAAGUAAUUUAUUUAGAGUUCUCCCACAUCUGCUACCAAAACAGGUUGUUUUUUUCCCCUAAAAGUGACAUCUCUAUUGCAGGACAGAUUACAAUUGAUAAAACAGUUUCAAAAGCGUCACAAAAUUUGGAAGCAUUUUGAAAGCAGAACCGUUUUCUCCAUGUAUUCAGUCCUAUGUAUUUGGCAGAAAAAGAGCAACGAAGCAAAGUACCCAGCUUGGUUUCUUUUAAUUUAGUUCCCCUCGCUUCUUGAGGGAGGAUAUUUGUGCUAACGCUUGCUAUUUGGACCUGCGAGUGAUGGGGGUAGUUUUUGGCAAACCUCUGCACUCACCAGUCCUGAAAUACCUUUUUAGCGUGGAGUCAGACAGCCACACUUCCCUGAGGACCACUUGCCAGGACGCCACAGGGUGCAACCAAAUCCUAUAGUGUGAAAUGGAGGAUCAGUGGCAGCACUGGUGUCUGAUGGACAGUGAACUGCGGAUGGCAGGUCAGCCGGCCAGGCUCCAUUCCAACGAAUGCCCUUUAGAGCACUGACCUUCUCUUUGCUGGGCCUCAACAUCUAGAGAGUUCUAAUUACUAUGGGGAAUUCUGCUGAUAAUUCUGGAAAUAAUUGAAGGCAUUCACUUGUUCAGUAGUUCAGUCAGUCAACAAGUAUUUCUUGGGCACCUAUGACAUCUUAAGCACUAAUAGAUGCAAAGAAUUCACAAGAAUAGACACUUAGACCUGUGAGAGUGUUUCAUAAUUUACCACGUUCAUCUGUUAUGUCAAAGAAGAUAUAGUCUUUGCACUCAAAAAGUUUACAAUUUGGAUUUCCUGUCGUGGCUCAGUGGAAACAAAUCUGACUAGUAUCCAUGAGGAUGCAAGUUCAAUCCCUGGCCUCACUCAGUGAGUUAAAGAUCUGGCGUUGCCAUGAGCUGUGGUGUAGGUAGGUCACAGACAUGGCUUGGAUCUGGCAUUGUUGUGGCUGUGGUGUAGGCCGAUGACUACAGCUCAGAUUCAAUCCCUAGCCUAGGAACCUCCAUAUGCUGCAGGUACGGCU
RNAcentral lists this long non-coding RNA (3080 nucleotides) under Sus scrofa (pig). RNAcentral's name for it is "lncRNA (ENSSSCG00000054519.1)". Lineage: Eukaryota; Metazoa; Chordata; Mammalia; Artiodactyla; Suidae. The record is from RNAcentral.